CUGGCUCAGGACGAACGCUGGCGGCGUGCUUAACACAUGCAAGUCGAACGGUGAUGUCAGAGCUUGCUCUGGCGGAUCAGUGGCGAACGGGUGAGUAACACGUGAGUAACCUGCCCCCGACUCUGGGAUAACUGCUAGAAAUGGUAGCUAAUACCGGAUAUGACGAUUGGCCGCAUGGUCUGGUCGUGGAAAGAAUUUCGGUUGGGGAUGGACUCGCGGCCUAUCAGGUUGUUGGUGAGGUAAUGGCUCACCAAGCCUACGACGGGUAGCCGGCCUGAGAGGGUGACCGGCCACACUGGGACUGAGACACGGCCCAGACUCCUACGGGAGGCAGCAGUGGGGAAUAUUGCACAAUGGGCGAAAGCCUGAUGCAGCAACGCCGCGUGAGGGAUGACGGCCUUCGGGUUGUAAACCUCUUUUAGUAGGGAAGAAGCGAAAGUGAC
RNAcentral lists this ribosomal RNA (443 nucleotides) under Clavibacter sepedonicus. RNAcentral's name for it is "bacterial SSU rRNA". It matches the Rfam family "Bacterial small subunit ribosomal RNA", at positions 19 to 473 of the family's 1533-position model. Lineage: Bacteria; Bacillati; Actinomycetota; Actinomycetes; Micrococcales; Microbacteriaceae. The record is from RNAcentral.